Molecule: long non-coding RNA, 3417 nt
Organism: Dromaius novaehollandiae (emu)
Lineage: Eukaryota; Metazoa; Chordata; Aves; Casuariiformes; Dromaiidae
Exons: 3
Source: RefSeq, a predicted model, not a curated record
CGCCGCGGGGCGAGAGCCGCCGCCGCCGCCGCCGCUCCCAAGAUGGCAGCCUCCAGAUAUCUCUCCUUCCUUUUCUGUGUCAAGUUGGAAAGAAAAGCUGGAGGCCUCUUGCAGAGAUCCUGGAGUUUCUCCUGACAUCUCCUGCUGUGAGGAAAGGUGGGGAAUCAAGUCCUCUGAAGCUGGAAAGUGCCAGAUAUUUGUCCAUCUGGCCAACUCAAAUUCAGCCUCGUGUUUGUGUGUUCUGCUAUGAUGUUUGUGUGUUCUGUUAUGGUCCUCAAUUGCCUUUGUAAAGGACCCUUUCUUCCCAAGGGCUCUGCUUCACUUGAGGCAUGGUCUGGUUGCAAAAUGAAAAUUUAAAAAUUAGGAAAUACCAAACCUGGGGUUUCCCAAGUAUCCUUAGUUCUGCAGCUUUGCAUGCCAGCCCUUCUCCAUUUCACGCCUAGCCUGAACAUAAAAAGUGUCAAAAUUGAUGCUAUCUGGGUGAUUGCAAAUGUGCUAUUUCCUAACUUCUAAAAGUUUGAUUUUGCAACUGUUACAAUCUCAUAAUGCUCUUUCUUUGGUCUUUUCUACAGUGUAGAAAAAUGCUCACGUGAUCCAACAGUCCAAAUGGAUCAGCAAUGUGAACGGGUUGUGGGCUCCCAGUACUGCAUUAUUGCACUUGGUGGAUCAGUUCAUCCAUUCAUAUGCACUUGUCACUUUUCAAGCAACAAAAUCAAAUGCUAGCCUAAACUCCUAGGUUUGUGAAUGAGAAAAGCAAAUAAUGUGUGGGCUGUAAGAGGAAAUUCAGCCUUUAUACUUAACAGUAAAGCAGAAUACCAAGAAAACUGACAGAUAUCUUAAAAUUAACAGGAAGAAACUCCCUCCCUGGCCCCCAAAGCAUGCUAUGGAGAAGUUUAAAACACUUUCAGCCAAAAUAUAGACCAAAUAUUGUAGAUGCUUUUUAUUUUGGGUCUUGCACACUUGGGUGCUGAGCUGAAACAUAGCAAAUUACACCUUGUUCUUGGUUUUGUCACUGAUCCGCUACAUAACACAAGCAGACCCAGCCCUUCCGAGUUUUACCUAUUUAACGAGUAGGCUUUUAAGGCAGAUUGUCCCUUUACUAUCGAUUUGUCCUUAUGUGAGUGCCUACUCAUAUUAAAUCUAAUGGUUACAUUACAUUACAAGGUUUUAGCCCUAAUUUAUUUUCCUUUUCUGCAAGGAAUCUUCUUCUGUGUAUUGCAGCACCAGUGGAGGUGAAGAGGUGCAGCUGAAUUGUUAAGACAGAGCCCUUCCCAAAUGGCUCUUGAUCAUUGUAACGCACUGACUAAAUAUGACAAAUUUUUCUGCAUCAGCAGUGCUUUGCUGGAUCUAAGUGUACUGACCCAUUCUCAGUAGAAGCUUUUUGACGCAAAUGCCCAAAGGCGUGUAAGUUCCUGUUAUUUGUAACUCUAAACUGUUUAAAAGUGACUUGAGUUUUGAGAAGAUAUUACUUCUGUUACUAUUUCUAUUUCUUUGUAAAAUAUUUCUUUGUCUGAAGCAGCAUGGCACUUGACAGCAUUUUCAGAUUAAAUGUGGCUAAGCACCAUUUUACUGUAUUUGACUAUAAAAGAAACUUAGCCCAAUACCUGCAUACAGAAGAAUGGAGUUUUGUUCACCAGAGUAUCCCCAGUUAGUUGAUUUGUUGUUUUGGAUUUGAUUCAGCAAAAUGAGUGCACCCCUGUGUUGUUCUGGGGAUAUGCCCAGUCCUGUGAUGGGCUGCAGAGCACACGAAAGCACUGAACACACUGGUGUGCUUCUCCUGUGUAAAGGGGGUAGAGGCAUAGCCCAGACUCUCUCCAUAUGUUUGAAAGCAACUCUUAAAAAGCGACUAUUUAGUCCCUUCAGCAGGAAUGUGUGGGGCAAAAUGAAAGUAGACAUCUUCCAUACUUGGAAAGACAUACGCCGCUGCAAGAAAGGUAGCACUGCUGCCAGUGCAUUAUGGUAGGUACCACAUGCAUAAGCCUCUGCAUGACCUCUACUAAGUUAGCAUUUAAAGCGAAGUUAGCUCUGAAGAGAAAUCUGCUCAGGAAUGCAGGUGGAAAGCCUGAGACACCUUCAUCUUACUUAAUCUAGGGAAAUAAAACCUUUUAAUGGUCAGUCUGGUAUCACAGCUGACUGACUUCACAGGCUCUCCAGGAUGAGUUGAUAUGUUCAGCAGCAGACUGGAACCCAUGACCCUUUGUGGUCAGCUUUAUUACCUGUUUUGCGGCCACUUUCAUUUAGCUCAUUUCAGUUUAGCUCAUUCCUGAGCUAAUAAGAAGAUUAGCUGAAAAAAAAAAGAUUAGGUAUUAAGAUGCCUCUUUCUGUCUUGGAGAGUCUUACCUGUUUUCCUAUAAAAACUUCUCAGGUGACUCUCACUCCCUUGAACACUUUCCUUUAGACUGUCCAGUGUAUUAAGGAUCAGAUGGGAGAAAAGAGCAGGUUUAGAUAAAUUAAAUGUCAAGAAGGUCUAAGUUAACCAAAUGAAAAAGUAUUUCUGAUGUCUUUUCUUCAGACAUACGUAUUCUUCCACUGGCAAUACAGAGAGAGGCUUGUGAUACAGAAAGGGGAAUUUGACUCAGAGGUAAAUUUCUAAAGCAAUCUUCCUUUAAAGACUCUGGUAUAUUUUGUUUAGAUUAUUUUCAAUAAGGGCUUCGGUUUAUCUUUUCAGUUUGACACUCUUCCAGCCUCUCAAGCAUAUAUGUUAAAAAAAAAUACGAGUCAACUCAGAUUCAAUUGCUAGGUACGGCACCUUGCUCUAAGAUAAUACAGCACCUAGCCUAAUUUUGCAUACUAUGGCCCCAACAAUUUUACCUGUGGAGCUACCACAGUAAUUCACAGCAACUUAUUCUAUUUUUGUUUGUUUUUUCUGUCCAUAUGUGUGAAAAUACCAUGGUUUUUUUGUAAGUUUAUUCAGAAUUAUUUGCCAGUAGCUUCUCUGGCUGUCUUUUAUGGUAAUUCUAGCUAUGAAAAAGAUUGUGUAAGAUCUCCAUAAGCUUCAUCAAAGCCUGCUAAAAUUGAGCUUGUAGAUUGCUGUAUUUGAAGAACUUGAACUUCCCUUGUUUGCAGAAAAACAGAUGUUUCAGCAUGCCAUAUGUAUCAGUUUGCCACAUUAUAUAAGGAGUUUACACUAAAAAUGGGCAUCUCUAAGAAUAAUUUAUGGAAUGAGAUCAAAAUACUUGGGCUGGUACAUGGUGUCUUCUAAGAAGGGCUGAGAGGAGCAGGCCUUUCUGGAGUUGGUUCUCUUCAUUCCGCUCAGGAAUAUUAAAACCACCUUCAUGGGUAAUGAAAGUGUGCUGUAGUAUUAUAAUGUGCUAGGGGUGUUCUUAUCCUCGAUAUUUUUGUAGAGACAAUGGACUACACACACAAAAAAAAUUGCCAUAAUGUGAUUUAAUGGAUGCUUUUGCAAGACUUUUUUCU